AUGAACCCGACCCUCCUCACUCGCUGGCUAUGGCGCAUUGCAAACAGCGAUGGUGGCUUGUGGCUACAAAUCAUCCAUUGCAAGUACCUGCGCGACCAACCCCUCGCUUUCUGCGUCAGGUCGGGUGGCUCUCAGUUUUGGCAGUCUGUUGUUCAGCUCCUCCCGGUUCUGCGUAUUGGGACUUCCAUCGUGGUUGGCACCAGUUCGGCCACACUUUUCUGGUUUGGCCGAUGGGCAGGUGAUCGCCCUUUCGCGGCCCGGUUCCCUGACCUUUUUUCCAUAGCGGUUGAACCCAGGAUCUCCGUCGAGUCGGCCCUUAUUGACUUAGGGCGUCUCGCGUUCCGGCGGCCAUUUGGGCCGCCGGAGGUUGCCACUUGGCAUGAGCUCCUUGACACGGUGGCCCUCCAUGAGCCGGACUUAUCGCAGCACCUCGACGACCGCCUAUCUUGGCGUCUCGAGCCCUCGGGUCGCUUUUCCACGAAGUCACUUUACUGCGCCAUCGCGCACGCUCCCGGGCCAAGCGUCCUCGACUCUAUAUGGUCUAUUCGCGUCCCCCUCAAGAUUAGAAUCUUCAUGUGGCAAUGGAUCCGUGGCCGGCUCCCCUCGGGCGUGGAGGUCCUGCGGCGCCAGGGUCCCGGUGAUGGUAUCUGCCCCCUAUGUGGGACGGUGGAAACCUCGAAUCACAUCUUCUUCUCGUGCAUCUCCGCCCAGUUUCUUUGGGGCUGCCUCCGAGAGGUCAUUGGUGGCAACUAG
This 753-nucleotide ribosomal RNA is filed under the name Triticum aestivum (bread wheat). RNAcentral's name for it is "partial small subunit ribosomal RNA". The record is from RNAcentral. Lineage: Eukaryota; Viridiplantae; Streptophyta; Magnoliopsida; Poales; Poaceae.